AAUGACUCUCGGCAAUGGAUAUCUCGGCUCUUGCAUCGAUGAAGAACGUAGUGAAAUGCGAUACUUGGUGUGAAUUGCAGAAUCUCGUGAACCAUUGAGUCUUUGAACGCAAGUUGUGCCCGAGGCCUUGUGGCCGAGGGCACGCCUGCUUGGGCG
Molecule: ribosomal RNA, 156 nt
Filed under: Alpinia intermedia
Lineage: Eukaryota; Viridiplantae; Streptophyta; Magnoliopsida; Zingiberales; Zingiberaceae
Also listed under: 1 other name
Description: 5.8S rRNA
Rfam family: 5.8S ribosomal RNA
About the family: 5.8S ribosomal RNA (5.8S rRNA) is a component of the large subunit of the eukaryotic ribosome. It is transcribed by RNA polymerase I as part of the 45S precursor that also contains 18S and 28S rRNA.
Source: RNAcentral